GGCCCUGAUUGGUAAACUCUGUCUGGACCGGAACAACUAUAAAAACAGAUUGGAAGCCAUGUCUUUGGGUUCCCAAAGUCCAGUGACUCUUGUAAUUGGCAUGACGCUGCAGAAACCACAGAAAUUAUGCCCAAGGGAGUUCCUCCAGAAGAUAUCAGCUGCUGUGUAGUAUGGGGCUUCCAAUCCAGGGUGACUUCCAAACCCCCUGAUGUGAGUCUCAUUUCUGCACCUGAGCCACCACUUGGGGAUCAAAGAGGAUAACUUCUAACCUCGAUGCGGAUGGCUUUGUGAUCUGCUGCAAGGUCCCACGGAAGAGAAGUGCCAGAUGUGCCCUGCUGACAUACUCUGCGGCCCAGCCUACGCCUCCUGCCGAGUCAGCUGCUGCCCAGUGUGGCAUCGCAGUCCUGUGAGCUCUAGUAGAGUCUUCCAACGAAGACCUUCUGGUGGGCGUUGCAGGCAGCACUGAGCCGCGAAAGAGCAUCUGGAGGAUGUGAAGCUUGGUCCUGACUUUGCCCUUAACCAAGACCUCGGUGACCUUGAGCAGGGGCCGGGCAGGGGGGAAGGUCACAGACUCUCUGGGUCUCUGUUUUCUCAACUCUAACCUAAGAGGCUGCACUCAGUAGGCCCAGUGUGUCUCCAUGAUUCUGUGAAUCUGUAACUUUCAAAAUCUUCAGAACACCCGUGAAGGGUAAGCAGGCAGGGAUUUUUGUCCAUAUUUGACUCAUGAAGAAACUAAGGAUGGAGGAAGUGAGAGGACUGAGGAGUGUUUGAACCAGCGCCAGAAGUGAGUUCACCUGAGUUCCAGCACAAUAUUCCUUCUAGCGUGAGAGAAACAUGGACCCUUCCUCCCAGGAAUUUACUAUCAAGCUUAUUCAGCUGGCACUGGUUUGAGGAAAGACUACAGGCUCUUAAGAGAGGUCAGCAAGGGAGGCAGGACCGCCAGAAAGGGCCGGUCGGACCUGGGUCAUGGCCGCUGUGAGGAGGGAAAUCGGAAGAGGCUGUUUGCUGAGGGGCUGGCAUUCCCUGGAGCACAAGGGAAGGGGAAGUUGCCAGGAAACCCUGAGUUUUCCAACCUGACAAUCAGGCCACAGCUGAGUUUUUAUAGGAAAUUGCCCAGCUCUUUGGAAAUUUUAUGCAGUAUAAAUAUGGCCUUCGAUGUCUAUACAUUAGCUUAGCAGAAGGCGGAAACAUCUUGGAACCCCUGGAUUUGAGAGAUCUCUGCUUGCAUUCUUAUUAUAAUUACUUUCAGCAGAACUGUAUAAUAUGAAAUUAUAUUGCUAAAAGCUAUUUAAUUUUGUAAUCUUUGAGACUUCUUAAUAACAAGUAAACCCCAAGCAGAGUGAAGGUGGAAUGGAAAAAGCAGUUUAUUCUGAAUAAAAAAAAAUAG
This 1387-nucleotide long non-coding RNA is filed under the name Equus caballus (horse). RNAcentral's name for it is "lncRNA (ENSECAG00000044862.1)". The record is from RNAcentral. Lineage: Eukaryota; Metazoa; Chordata; Mammalia; Perissodactyla; Equidae.